CUCUCCAUAGAUUAUACAGCCGUAACCCAAAAUUUGUUUGUGGUUCUAUGCAUAUGUAAAGAUCGUUUGUUGUGGAUAACGAUCUUGGGAGGCUGCAUACUAAUCGAAGUUAAGUAACUUACACUAUCAGAGCACUGAGUUUGUGGUGUUUAUGUUUGUUUUGUUGUGGAAGACAUUUGUCUGCCGCAAUAUUUAAAAGGAAAAGGUCACUUCUCUAAAAAUUAUACCUUUGAAAACAAGAAUUCUGAGGGGAUUCUAUGGCACCUAAUCCCAAAGCCUCUGAGUUUAUAAAG
Molecule: non-coding RNA, 293 nt
Organism: Pelobates cultripes (western spadefoot toad)
Lineage: Eukaryota; Metazoa; Chordata; Amphibia; Anura; Pelobatidae
Source: the annotation of a GenBank genome assembly